UGCAGUCGAGCGGAGCAAGUAGGAUGUUGCUCCUUGGGUGGCCAGUGGGGGAAGGGUGGCGAAUGAUCUGACUCUACUUUUUCGUGGGGGAUUCCGUAGGGAAGCUUACACUACUACCGUCCACCACCUACAGGUGAAAGAUCGGGACCUUCGGGCCUUGCGCGAUUGCCUGAGCCGAAUUCGGAUUAUCUUGUUGUCGGGGUAAAGGCCCACCACGGCCACUAUCCGUACCUAGACUGAGAGGAUGAUCACCCGCACUGAAACUGAGACCCGGUCCCUACUCCAACCGGAGGCGGCGAUGGGGAAAAUUGGACAACGGGCGCGAUCCUGAUCCGCCCCUAGCGCGAGGAUGAACAUGGCCUUCGGGUUGUAAUUCCCUUUUGAUGAGGCUAAAUUCCAUCUGGCUAAUACCCGGUGGGGAUGACUCUCCCCAAAAACUAAGCACAAGUCAACUUCAUGCCACCCGCCACGAUAAAAGGAACGGUGCUUGCGUUAAUCUAAAUUACUGAGCGUACACCGUGCCUACGUGGUCGUUCAAAUCCGAUGUCCCAGACCUGAGCUCGACCUGUGAACUGCAUUGUGUACUGCUCGACUGUGGUAUAGGAUGGGGUAACUGAAUGCGUGGUGUAGCAAUGAAAUGAGAUCAGAUCGAGAGGAACUUCCAUGGGCAACGCUCCUACCUAGACCUGCCCCUGACACUGAGACACGAUGGCGUGCAGAGCAGACUAGAUUACAUGCUCUUGCUAUUCCGCACACUAUAUCAUGCAAACUGUAUGUCGUGUGCAGCUUGACUCGCACUAUCUGA
Molecule: ribosomal RNA, 805 nt
Filed under: uncultured bacterium
Lineage: Bacteria
Description: bacterial SSU rRNA
Rfam family: Bacterial small subunit ribosomal RNA
Source: RNAcentral